CUGUUUGUUCAGACCUGUGUCUAGUUGUUUAGUUGUUUAUGCAAAGAAAUCCAAAGUGCUUGUUCAUUCACAGACAAUGUUCAUGUCAGUAAGGCUAUGGCUUUGGCUGUAAUUUCAGCAAGGUAUGUAACUGCAAUUGUCUGGGUUUUUUUCAGUACAACUUAUUUAUCAAAACAGUUCAAAAGCCAAAUCUUUAGAUAUGGUGAAAUUAAUGAUUUGCCUAUUCCUGAUGUGUGAGGAGGACAGCAAUUAAUUAUAUCUAGUAUCUACAUGGUAUUAUUCAACCAAAUUACAAGGAAGGCUAUCAUUAUUUACAUAAUCCAGAGGAGGAAAACAGGUCUCGGAGAGGUCAAACAAGAGGUGAGCCAGCAUGCGUGAGGUCAGUCUGCCAACAAUUAGUAUUUGGCACAUGGAAGCAGACUGAUUUUUUUUUAUUGUGGGUUUUGUUUUUCCUUUUCCCCAGAGAUGCUGAGCAUCCACAGCUUGCUUUGAAAUUACUGGGAACUCAAGCAUUUCUGAGCAUCAGUCUGUGCUUGUGAUCCACUCAUACUCCCAAACAGACAUGUAACUUCUGGUGCAGCAGUUUGAGCUAAGCAACUUGCAUACAGAGAAGUCACGCUUAGCUCCUGUGGAGGGAUGGAAACUCAGAUCCAUGACUGAAAAUCAUGUUUGCAUCCAGUUUUAUUGUAGAGCAUCUGGGAGCAUCAGGAUGAGAGCAGUAGCUUUGCUGCAUUGCUCUUUGAAUCUGCCAGUUUCCACUGGUUGCCUUGCUGAUGUUUUUUUCCAGUUUUAGUGUUAGGUGUGCUCACAGCUGAAAUAAAAAGCUGGCUGUGGGGUCCGUGCAGUACAGCUUUGCUGAGGCAAAGCUUCAUAACCCUCUGACAUGUUAUUCUCAUUUGGCUCAUCUCUUGCUAGUGAGAAACACACUUCACAUUUGGGGCUGACACUCUACACAAGCCUCAGGAAGAAGCCUACGCACUGGAUUCCAAGGGACUGGAUGAAGCAAAUUGCACCAUUUCCCAUCACUCAAGAGCACCCAGCUGUAACCAGCACCCACACUGCACCUCCAAUCCACUUUUAGGCUCUGUCUGUACCAUGUUUAUUUGUGCAGAAAUCCAGAACAGGCUGUGAAAUUGGUCAAUAAACCUGGUAUUAAUCCCUCAGUAAAGGUCACUACUGAAGACAAGACACUAAAUUAGAUGGAUGGCUGAAUAGUCUGUACUAAUAGGGUAAUUUAAUGUUUGCUUCUCUCCAGAAGCCUUAACGUUUAUUUCAAAUAUAAAUUUUAUAUUCACUUACUAAACAGCUCCUGUCCUUCCAACCUUCCUUCUAUGCAUGCUACUUUGUUUUUAUCAGCUACACCUACAAAUCCACUUAGGCUCAUUUGAAUCAUGAUUUUUCAGAGGUAACAAGUGAACCUCAGUUUGGGAAAAGGACAAGAACAACCAGGCACAUUAAAGGAACCUGAUUUAUCUGAUUUAUAAACAGAAUGGACAGCAGAAGCAUAGAGAAUAAAAUUACUUGCUUCUUUGUGGGACCUCAAGGU
This is a long non-coding RNA of Pezoporus occidentalis (night parrot), 1546 nucleotides long. RefSeq lists it as uncharacterized. The record is from RefSeq and is a predicted model, not a curated record. The transcript has 3 exons. NCBI's taxonomy places the organism in Eukaryota, Metazoa, Chordata, Aves, Psittaciformes, Psittacidae.